Molecule: ribosomal RNA, 270 nt
Filed under: uncultured archaeon
Lineage: Archaea
Description: partial 16S ribosomal RNA
Rfam family: Archaeal small subunit ribosomal RNA
Source: RNAcentral
CUGCACCUCAAGUGGUGGCCGCUAUUAUUGGGCCUAAAACGUCCGUAGCCGGUUUAGUAAAUGCCUGGGUAAAUCGUGUAGCUUAACUAUACGACUUCCGGGUAGACUGCUAGACUUGGGACCGGGAGAGGCUAGAGGUACUCCUGGGGUAGAGGUGAAAUUCUGUAAUCCUAGGGGGACCACCAGUGGCGAAGGCGUCUAGCUAGAACGGGUCUGACGGUGAGGGACGAAGCCCUGGGGCGCAAACCGGAUUAGAUACCCGAGUAGUCC